CAACCAAAGCUGGCGACCGGCGCACGGGUGAGUAACACGUAUCCAACCUGCCUCAUACUCGGGGAUAGCCUUUCGAAAGGAAGAUUAAUAUCCGAUAGCAUAUAUUUCCCGCAUGGGUUUUAUAUUAAAGAAAUUCGGUAUGAGAUGGGGAUGCGUUCCAUUAGUUUGUUGGGGGGGUAACGGCCCACCAAGACUACGAUGGAUAGGGGUUCUGAGAGGAAGGUCCCCCACAUUGGAACUGAGACACGGUCCAA
Molecule: ribosomal RNA, 254 nt
Filed under: uncultured bacterium
Lineage: Bacteria
Description: partial 16S ribosomal RNA
Rfam family: Bacterial small subunit ribosomal RNA
Source: RNAcentral